Long non-coding RNA from Ruditapes philippinarum (Manila clam), 1982 nucleotides. RefSeq lists it as uncharacterized. NCBI's taxonomy places the organism in Eukaryota, Metazoa, Mollusca, Bivalvia, Venerida, Veneridae. The record is from RefSeq and is a predicted model, not a curated record. The transcript is spliced from 3 exons.
UAUUAUCAUUAUUAUUAUUAUUAUUUAUUAUUAAUAUUAUUAUUAUUAUAUUUAUUAUCAAAAAAAUAAAUAACCGAUUGAGCAUUAGAAUCGAAGUUUUGCCUAUGAAAAAGUAUCAAUGGUUAUGUUAAACAUGUAUGCAAAGUUAUCGUUUAUGGAUACAUGAUAUUUCCAAUUUAAUAUUGCAUUAUUUUGGAUCGAAUAAAGGUCUUAGCAUGCUGGUUUCUUCCAUUAUCACCGACCUUAGUAUAAAUCCGUGGCAUUAUUAAUGCUAAAUGCUUUAUAACACAAACGGUAUCUAGGCAUAUCCCUCGUUUUCAAAACAGCCAAUGAGUUUAAAGCGUUGGUUUUGUAUCAUGUGAAUCCUAUCAACCAAUCAGAAAUAGCGCGGGCGAAAUGAAAAAAGAAAAACGGGAUUGGAAAUGGAUAGUAAAUAAAAUUCAGAAUAUUGCAAAACAAGGACAGUUAAAUCUUCUAGAAAUGCAGCUGUGCCCUCUUUACAGCAAUUGUAGAUGAAGCAAAGUAUGGUAGCAAGUUAUAUAGAUAUACACACAUGCCGAAGAGGAUUGUAAUAUCUGGAGAUAACAUUUCCUACGUCACGAAAUAGACACCGUCACACUGGUCUACGUAACAUUCCUAUAAAUGAUUGAUAUAUUAAAGUGCUUUUAAGAACGGUGUUUGAAUGACGAAUUUCUGUGAAUACGGAUUUUUAGUUUUAAUGAUUAUUAUUAAAACUUUCUGUAAUAAUCAAUUUGUGCUAUGGACUCAUUUUCCUAAAAUAAUAUGUGAAUGUUAACACAAACAAAUGAUAUGAAUAUCUUUAAAAUAUUUUAUGGGUGUAAUACAAGUGGCUCAUAAAAAUCAUUGUUAAGAUAAAUAGAAUCAACCUUCAAGUUGGUAUAGUUUGUUCUAGAUUUAAACAACAUGCAAUUCAUAAAGGUUACUGCUUGAAAAUAUCGAAACAUGUACAUGUAUAACUCGAUCUCUAAAGAAAAUAUCGCAGUGCGGAUUUUCUCCACUUUGAUACGUAUUUCAUGACUCUGUAUCGCAUCAUACCGGUAUAUCGCCGUUCCGUUGCAACGCUACAUUAAUUUGUCCCUCUGGAAUAAGGCUUGCAACAAUAUAUGACUGGCGAAGACAUGUUUAUUUUGUUUAAUAUAUGUAUACAUAUUGAAUAUAUGUUUAUGAAAUAAUAAAUAUUUAAGAGUGACUCUAUUUGGUUUUUACUUUAUUAUUUGAAAUACUCCAAUUGUGAAGAUAAAGCUCUUAAGUCUAUGACUUUACAGUUCCCAUUCAAAAUGUGUAAUAAAACAUGUUCUAUUGUACAAGUCUGCAUUUCGGUCAUGUAUACGUGUCACUUAUAUGUAAAUGCAUGCUUUUGAUAUUAUCUGUAUCUUCUUUUAUCAAGAAAAUACAGUUCUAUAUUCCCUGUGGACAACUAAAAAUGCAAUUCCGUAUAUCCCCUGUAUAUAUUGAAAAUAUGAUUCUGUAUACCCCCUGUAUAUGUAGAAAAUACGAUUCCGUAUAUCUUCUGUAUAUGUAGAAAAUACAAUUCCGUAUAUCAUCUGUAUAUGUGGAAAAUACGAGUCCGUAUAUCCUCUGUAUAUGUAGAAUAUACGGUUCCGUAUAUGCUCUGUAUACGUAGAAAAUACGAGUCCGUAUAUCCUCUGUAUAUGUAGAAAAUACGGUCCCGUAUAUCCUCGGUAUAUUUAUAGUAUACUAGGGAAAACAACCUUAAUAUAGUCCGUAUACGGGAUUUUAUUCUCCGUAUACUUCAAAAGUACGAACAAAUAUACGUUCAUGUAUAUGGGGCAAAUACGGAAUUCCGUAUAUGCCUGAUGCAUAUACGGACUUCCCGUAUACCCGGUGUUCCCUAUACGGACUCGUAUACUUGGUCCGUAUAUUCGACGAAUUCAUCCCGUACACGCCCGUAUAUGUCAAAAAUACGGGACCGUAUAUUCCCGUAUAUCAGUAUAUUUUUC